AACUUAUUGAUGCUAAUUUAAUUAACCCUCAUAUAGAUCAUUUAAUACUACAACCAAUUGCAAACAAGACCAAAUACCCUUUUCAAGGUGGUCCCUCACGAGUAACCUCGAGACAUAGAACUCUCUUACAAUCCACAAACACACGAAAAUAUAGAGAUAGUAGUGUCUUCUUCCUCCUCUUCCUCUUGUUAAAUUAUUGAGGGGCAAUGGUGGUCCUCUCUUUAUUUUGUAGUAUUGUCCCAAAUUAAUUGAUCCUGCAAGAACCACAAAAACAUAUGAUAAAAUUAGGUAAAUAAUAGAAGGAAGAUGCUAAAAGGAGAAAUUAACAUAGUUCAUUGUUAUCAUAAUCAGACCGGUUACUGGAUUGGUCUAGUCCGGGAGCGAUUAGAACUUGAACCGGACUAAUUGGGCGGCUAACUGAAUUAAUUGGUUCGAUAUAUUUUUUUUAAAAAAAGGGUCAAAACCCAAAAAAAAAAUAAAAAAUAGAAGAAGAAAAACAUAGAUUACGUGUAUAUUAUCUUAUUACCUACAUUUAUCUUAUAAAAAUAAAUUUGAAACAAUGUUUUAUAUAAAUUAAUAUAUGAAUACUAUGGACAUAUAUAAGACAAUUUGGAAUUUGACAUUAAAAUUCAAUUGAUGGAGUUACAAAGUCCAAUUUAGAAUUUGUAUGAAGUAAAUGACCAAUAAAACUAAUGUUGAGAUUGCCCUCAUGAUAAUAAGUUAACAUCAAUUAAAACCCUAUAUAGGAAUAAAAAUAAAUUUUGGGAAAUAGAUUGUCCUAAUCCUAUAUUUAGAAAUACAGCAAUCAAUAGUUAAAAUGAAAAUAGAAACACAUCAUGAAUAUAGGGAGACAAGAGGAAAAAAAACAGCAAAAUACAUAAAUUUGACACGUGUGAUGGUACACGAAAAAAAAAGACUCCUAAUCAAUCUAACAACAAUCAGUAGUUCGGUACAAUGAUUUAGUAGAUUAGCUUAACUAUAUACAAAGUUUCUAUUAGAAACAUUUUUUUUUAUAUAUAAUUUUUAUUAGAAACACAUAAACAAGUAUUUACCCAAAAAAAAAACACAUUAAGAAGUAAAUUGAAGAUAAUUAUUUCAAAUAUAAAAAAUUUACAUAGUUAUAUUUUUAGCAAAAUAAAGUGGUAAACAAUUAAACAAACAACUAAAAAUUCAUAUUUUCAAAAAAAAUACUAAAUGAAAAGUCACAUGAAAUUCAAACAUGUGAUCUCAAUUGUAAAAAUCAAGUC
Molecule: long non-coding RNA, 1247 nt
Filed under: Amborella trichopoda
Lineage: Eukaryota; Viridiplantae; Streptophyta; Magnoliopsida; Amborellales; Amborellaceae
Description: long non-coding RNA (ATRI_LNC001971)
Source: RNAcentral